Molecule: ribosomal RNA, 478 nt
Filed under: uncultured bacterium
Lineage: Bacteria
Description: bacterial SSU rRNA
Rfam family: Bacterial small subunit ribosomal RNA
Source: RNAcentral
AGAGUUUGAUCCUGGCUCAGGAUGAACGCUGGCGGCGUGUCUAAGGCAUGCAAGUCGAAUGGGUUUAGACCCAUGGCAAACGGGAGCGUAACACAUUGGUAACCUGCCUCGAAGUUCGGAAUAACCCAGCGAAAGUUGGGAUAAUACCGGAUGUGCUCGUUCCGCAAAUGCGGAAUGAGUAAAGAUUUAUCGCUUCGAGAGGGGCCUAUGACCUAUCAGCUAGUUGGCGGAGUAAAAGCCCACCAAGGCUCUGACGGGUAGCGGGUGUGAGAGCACGACCCGCCUCACUGGGACUGAGAUACUGCCCAGACACCUACGGGUGGCUGCAGUCAAGAAUAUUCCUCAAUGGACGAAAGUUCCUGAAGGAGCGACGCCGCGUGACUGAAGAAGUCCUUCGGGAUGUAAAGGUCUUUUCUCCGGGACGAAAUCUGACGGUACCGGAGGAAUAAGAGGUUGCUAACUCUGUGCCAGCAGCCGC